UGCCCGCCGCCCAGGUCGCUCAUUGGCUGAAGCAGCGGGAGGCCUCGCUCUCCAGCCCCCUCCCUCUCCUCCCCCCUCACCUCCCCCCACCCCGCUCCCCUCCGUCCUCUUGGCACACGGCAGGUGGAGGUGGGAACGCGCUUUCCGGGGGCCACCCGCCCCGGGGGCGAAGCCGAUCCCGCUCUCGUUGCCCUUUCUUUCUCCGUCUACUUUUCGAGCUUCUCUCCUUCCCCUUCCUGUCUCCUCUCCCCUCCCCGUCGUCCGUCCUCCGCCCCUCCCCUUCUCUUCCUCUCCUCUCCUCCAUCCUUCGCUCCCGUCCGCCCGCCUGCCGAUCCGCCCGCUCCACCCUCUCCUCUCUGGCAGUUCACGCGGGCUCCGAGAGGAUGAGAAACGGAUUCAUCUGCCUAGGUCUUCGGGUUUUUCUCUUGCCCCGUCUUCGAGGAGCACAGAGCGCUACGAUAGCCAAGAGGCUCGUCUUCCCUCUCCGCCCCGAACCCGCGUCCUGAGGAGGGAGGCCGAGGUCCAGAACGGGGCAGAGAACCCAUCCAGUCCGGAGCGCUCUGCUGCCCUUCCCCCAACUUCUCAAGCCUUGAAAGCCCGGCCCCGACGGACGGUUCUUCGGUCCUCGAGGGAACUCGGGUGGGAGCCUCGCGGGAACCCCCGGCGUGGAGGCAGAGAACCGGCCACGAACAAAGAGAGCAUCGGGAAGAUGCGCAAAUGGGGAAGAGGGCCGGACCAACGGACACAGAAACUCCGUGGAUAAACCAAGGCCUUCCUUCCCGGCGUUGCCGAGGGCCCCUCCGAGCUCAGGCACUGGGACAGGUAGGAGGGGUGGGGUUAGAGGCAAGACCGGUCAGCUCUGUGACCACAGGGGUCCCUUCUGAAAGAAGAGCUCUGUUGUCAUGUCCGGACCGGCCCCCGGCCGCCUCCUCGGGAAACCUCACUCCGAAGCUCCCAGCGACGGCAUCUCCGCGUUCCACGGGGUUUUAAACCUAGAGUGGAAGGAGCAUUUCGCAAAUUCAUUAAACGUCUCGGCUGCUGGUUGGUCAGGUUGCCUGGGGCAUCGGACUACUUCCCUGGCAAAUUGGCCCGCAGAGGCUGGACAUCAAACCCC
Molecule: long non-coding RNA, 1114 nt
Organism: Ornithorhynchus anatinus (platypus)
Lineage: Eukaryota; Metazoa; Chordata; Mammalia; Monotremata; Ornithorhynchidae
Exons: 2
Source: RefSeq, a predicted model, not a curated record